CCCUUAGAUGUUCUGGGCUGUACGCGCGCUACACUGAAGCGUUCAACGAGUAUUCACCUUGCCCGGGAGGGUUGGGUAAUCUUUUGAAAACGCUUCGUGAUGGGGAUAGAUUAUUGCAAUUAUUAAUCUUCAACGAGGAAUUCCUAGUAAGCGCGAGUCAUCAGCUUGUGCUGAUUACGUCCCUGCCCUUUGUACACAUCGCCCGUCGCUCCUACCGAUUGAGUGAUCCGGUGAAUAAUUCGGACUGCAGCACUGCUUGGUCUCCAGGCUUUGCAGCGGAAAGUUUAGUGAACCUUAUCACUUAGAGGAAGGAGAAGUCGUAACA
RNAcentral lists this ribosomal RNA (325 nucleotides) under uncultured eukaryote. Its description in RNAcentral is "partial 18S ribosomal RNA". It matches the Rfam family "Eukaryotic small subunit ribosomal RNA", at positions 1470 to 1796 of the family's 1831-position model. The record is from RNAcentral.